RNAcentral lists this long non-coding RNA (1733 nucleotides) under Phoenix dactylifera (date palm). Its description in RNAcentral is "long non-coding RNA (PDAC_LNC014001)". The record is from RNAcentral. Lineage: Eukaryota; Viridiplantae; Streptophyta; Magnoliopsida; Arecales; Arecaceae.
UUGAUGACGUUCUUAUCUUCAGCAAGGCAAAAAGCUUAAAGCUUUUUGAAAAUUCAUUGAAACAUUUGGCUUUCAUAAUUUUAACAAUUAAAUGUUCUAAUUGUUACAAGAUCGUUUCUUUUGGUAGUUUCAGGGAGAUGAUAUGCCAUGGUCUUAACAUCAUUUGUGAGUAUUUUUUUAAUCCUUUUUUAUUGCAUACUAGAUCAGUAAUUAUGGAUUUUUUCUGGAUUUUGUCUUCAUAACAUUCUCGUUUCACCUUUCAAUGAAGUGAUGAAAUGUUGCAAAGUGCAAGUUUUAAUGUCACUUGGACAUUUCUAUGUCAUAUUGCCCCUAACAUUGAAAUGGAGUGUUAUCCUCUCAACACUGCAGGUAGUUUUAAAGUCAAUGUUGCCUGACCAAAAGAUAUGUAUGUCAAUGUCGAUAUUUGCUUUACAGUUGUAUGGAUACAUAAUGAUAUUGCUGCAUCAUUAUAGGAGGAUGACCCUGUUUCAUGGAUAAUCGGAAAUGGACCUCUUGACUUCUUAUAUAUCGCGUGAAAACUCACCAAUUAACUAGGUGUGAUAGUUUAUAUGGGUUCACAAUUCCACUACUCAUGCAAAAACCUCCAGGGUGCACAUGCUCAAUGGAAAGAGCACACAUUUAGCCGUAGAUUAGUGGUUUCUAAAAAUUUGGAAUUGAUUAUUGGUUUCUAAUAAUCUAGAAUUAUGUGUUGCCAAUGCCUCCCGAUGUUUUUUAUGAUUCAUAAGAUGCAUACGCGAAUAUGCCUUGGAAACCUUUGCAUUCCGGUAUGCAAUGAAUUAAUAACUUGUUAUACCCCCUCUUAACUAUUAUAAUUCCUAGUUUAUGCAACUAUAACUUAAUGGUGCUAAAGAAGUAAGAAAGUCAAUCUAUCGGUGAUUGUUUUCAAGGCAUAUAAAAUUAACUCCUACUUAUGAUAAUUACAAAGAAAGUAGGAACAAGAUAGGCUUGAUGAGGUGUGGUAUGUAGUUCUGGGUUGUUUUGCAGUAUUUCGCCAAUACGUUGAAUGAUUUGAUUAUAUAAUUAUUGAUUGACUGUCAAUUUGUGUAAUUGGACCAAGAUUGUGCCUUCAUGUGGGGACAUGGUUUUACACUUGGGGGAGGAUGGGGUUAUCAUAUCAUUUGUUUUGAAGAUGCUUCUUUUAAUCUCUCUCUUAGAUGUUCUGCACACGAGUCCAUGUGGGACAUGAAUAUGGGGUAUAAGAUAUGCAUGUAUGUAUGUUAAUGUGUGCGCCUGACUGCAUGUUGUUAUGUUGUAUUUGCGCUAAAAUUGUGCUUUUAUGUCUUGAUGUGGUUUUAAGCUUGGUGGUGGGUGAGCUUCUUAAGUCAUUACUUUUGGGAUGCCAUUUUGAAUUGUUUCUGUGUUUCUUACAUGUUCAGUAAUGGGGUCCAUGGAUGGCAAUAUGUGGUAUUAGUUAUGUAUAUAUGCAUAUUCAUGCUUGCAUGUCUACAAAUGUUUUAAGAAAGUUUUCUCUUGUUAUACUUUUUCCAAAUCAUAGUUGUAUACACCAAUAGAUGAAGCGCAUAAAAUGUUUACAAAGGAUAAAGCUAAUAAAUCAAGUUGUUUACCUGACAUAAGUUAUAUAUUCUAUAAAUUUAAGUCACUGCUUGAUGUAGCUUAAUUCAAAUUAGGUUUAGUUUAGUUAUUUUAAUUGUCGGUUUUAUUUUUGGAUUUUUUACGUAUAUAUCCUCCUAAAUAUUGAAAUUUGCAUGAAU